Molecule: ribosomal RNA, 232 nt
Filed under: uncultured bacterium
Lineage: Bacteria
Description: partial 16S ribosomal RNA
Rfam family: Bacterial small subunit ribosomal RNA
Source: RNAcentral
CGGGAGUAACGCGUGAGGAACCUGCCUCAAAGAAGGGGGACAACAGUUGGAAACGACUGCUAAUACCGCAUAAGCCCACGGCUCGGCAUCGAGCAGAGGGAAAAGGAGCAAUCCGCUUUGAGAUGGCCUCGCGUCCGAUUAGCUAGUUGGUGAGGUAAUGGCCCACCAAGGCGACGAUCGGUAGCCGGACUGAGAGGUUGAACGGCCACAUUGGGACUGAGACACGGCCCAG